GCAGCAGCCGCGGGAAUACGUAGGUGGCAAGCGUUGUCCGGAAUUAUUGGGCGUAAAGGGCUCGCAGGCGGUUUCUUAAGUCUGAUGUGAAAGCCCCCGGCUCAACCGGGGAGGGUCAUUGGAAACUGGGAAACUUGAGUGCAGAAGAGGAGAGUGGAAUUCCACGUGUAGCGGUGAAAUGCGUAGAGAUGUGGAGGAACACCAGUGGCGAAGGCGACUCUCUGGUCUGUAACUGACGCUGAGGAGCGAAAGCGUGGGGAGCGAACAGGAUUAGAUACCCCAGUAGUCCCUGUCUCUUAUAC
Molecule: ribosomal RNA, 302 nt
Filed under: uncultured bacterium
Lineage: Bacteria
Description: partial 16S ribosomal RNA
Rfam family: Bacterial small subunit ribosomal RNA
Source: RNAcentral